Molecule: ribosomal RNA, 718 nt
Filed under: uncultured bacterium
Lineage: Bacteria
Description: bacterial SSU rRNA
Rfam family: Bacterial small subunit ribosomal RNA
Source: RNAcentral
GUCGAGGGGCAGCGGGGGAGUAGCAAUACUCCCGCCGGCGACCGGCGCACGGGUGAGUAACACGUAUGAAACCUGCCCGUAGCAGGGGGAUAAGCGGAAGAAAUUCCGUCUAAUACCGCGUAACAACCCUUGGAGGCAUCUCCUCGGGUUUAAAGGAAGCGAUUCCGGCUACGGAUGGUCAUGCGUCGCAUUAGCUUGUUGGCGGGGUAACGGCCCACCAAGGCGACGAUGCGUAGGGGUUCUGAGAGGAAGGUCCCCCACACUGGUACUGAGACACGGACCAGACUCCUACGGGAGGCAGCAGUGAGGAAUAUUGGUCAAUGGCCGCAGGGCUGAACCAGCCAAGUCGCGUGAGGGAUGACGGUCCUGUGGAUUGUAAACCUCUUUUGUCAGGGAGCAAAGGGCGUCACGUGUGGCGCUUUGCGAGUACCUGAAGAAAAAGCAUCGGCUAACUCCGUGCCAGCAGCCGCGGUAAUACGGAAGAUGCGAGCGUUAUCCGGAUUUAUUGGGUUUAAAGGGUGCGCAGGCGGAAUGUCAAGUCAGCGGUAAAAUUUCGGGGCUCAACCCCGUCGUGCCGUUGAAACUGGCGUUCUUGAGUGAGCGAGAAGUAUGCGGAAUGCGUGGUGUAGCGGUGAAAUGCAUAGAUAUCACGCAGAACUCCGAUUGCGAAGGCAGUAUACCGGCGCUCAACUGACGCUCAUGCACGAAAGCGUGGGUA